Molecule: long non-coding RNA, 706 nt
Organism: Hemibagrus wyckioides
Lineage: Eukaryota; Metazoa; Chordata; Actinopteri; Siluriformes; Bagridae
Exons: 3
Source: RefSeq, a predicted model, not a curated record
UUUUUUCAAAACAACUACCACACGCGUUCUUUUCAGUGACUUUAUAGAGACUGAACUAUUUCUAUCAUUUUUCCAAAAGUUGUAUACGUCUGUCAGAAUGGCCGAGCGGUCUAAGGCGCCAGACUCAAGGAUGGCCGAGCGGUCUAAGGCGCCAGACUCAAGGUUCACUACCUUCCAGUUGAUGAAGGACUCAAACAGCAGAAAUCUCAAGAGCUCUUGGCUUGUACUGUUGGUGCAGGAUGGUUUUCAAUCAGGGAAAAAAAGAGCUGCCAGAAUGGGGUGGAGUUAAACCCUGCCUCCAUACAGAGACCAGAAUCCUCAGCAAUCAGGAAGGGAUUGAACCUUGAACCUUGGGACCUCAGCCAUGACACAAAGGCCUGUGUAUUCAAGCUCAAUAAAAGGAAAAAAAAACAUAACAGUCAGUCCAUGAGGUUCCAGACUUCCAAGAGUGCGGAUAAGCCUUUUCUCUCUACAUUUCAUCAGUUCAUUGUUCCCAUAACAACAACUACCAGUGCAAACUGAGAUUUCAUUAAUGCUAUGUCCAUCAUUGUUGAAGUGUCUCGUCAUGGGGGAAAGAGGAAACCCUUCAUUCUCAUAAUACAAAGGUGCUCAAGAAAAUGAUCAGCCAGUCUCCUUUUAAUUUCUUUCAAAGCACUUCUUCAGUCAAUUUCACAUGUUCUCCCCGGACCAUGUGGGUUUCCUCCUA